This 989-nucleotide long non-coding RNA is filed under the name Musa acuminata (dwarf banana). RNAcentral's name for it is "long non-coding RNA (MACU_LNC001724)". Lineage: Eukaryota; Viridiplantae; Streptophyta; Magnoliopsida; Zingiberales; Musaceae. The record is from RNAcentral.
UUGCAGAAACAAAUCUCUAUCAGUAGGCUCAUAGUUAUAAGGUGGUUUUCAGAAGUAAAAUCCACCUGAUGUGAAGAUCAACCAUUGAACAAAGACAAAUGGCUGGCAUAUAUAAAUCCCCAAAUUGGUGAAAGAAAUUGAGAUUGUCUAAAACUACAGCAUUAGGAUUAGUCCUUUUUUCUCCUGAGACACUCUUCAUUUCUACUUCUUGAAGGCAUUAAAAGAAUAGCAUCUUAUAUGUUCAGAAACAUGUUACUUAUUAAAAGCAUCAUGAUUAGUGAAAGUCCAGAACUGAGAGAAGGAUUGUCUCAUUGCUUUUCUUCCAGAAAAGAUCCAACAUUUUGAGUAUUCACAUGUUUUCAUGGCAUCUUAACUCAUCAGUCCUCAGUCUUUAUAGAAAGUAUUAGAAGCAUCCUAGCUCUAUAUCUGAAUUUUUCAUGAGAAACUUCAUCCAUACUUAACCAAAAUUAUUAUAAAAAAACAAGAUACCCUAGGGCAGAAAAUGAAAUACUGCUAGUGCAAAAGGGAAAAAACCAUUCUCAAGAUUCAAAAAUUAGGGAACAUAUCAGUAAUAGAAAGAUAAAGAACUAAAUGCUAGGCAAGAGAAAAGCCUCCAACUUCAUUCUUCACGAUUGUUAACAGCAUACAACUAACAGAAUGAUGCAAAAACUACUCUUACUAGAAAAAGAGAGAAUUUAGCAGAUAAGUUUUAUAACAUUAAUAGAUGGCAAACAUAAUAACUCUAAACUUGCAAUUUAGCUUGCUUAAGAAAGUGCAUCUUUGUCAAAGGCUAAAAGACAUCAUCUUCUGCAGUAGUUUUCUUUCACAAAAUAUUUUAAACUGCUCGGGUUAUAUCCUUCAUCAAUAAGCACCUUGAGUAUCGACGAAAACUACAUCUUAACUAUCUAUUCAAAAAUCAGCAUAAUACUUUCACACUGUUAACAUGUUGCACCGUCUUGGCAACAUGGCCAACAGAGUAAGAAUCCAGG